GGGAAAUUUUAUAACUAGUUUUUGUCUCUCGAAUAACCAACUGACGAUUUUUGGUAAAGAUCGGGUGGUUAUUUAUUUGUUUGUUUAUUGGUAUUUGGUAAUUAUAAUAAACUGAAUCAAGUGGGAACUGGGCGGCUGCAAGCACGUGUUUAAAGAACUCUAUGGUGCAUACAUUCAACAGACCAAAAACUCUCUGGAAAAUGUUUGCUACCCCAUCCCAAUUCCUGAUAGUAAAAUGCAUUAGAAAAAUCUGCAUUUAGUUUCUGUUCUGCAGCUUCUUUCCAAUAGAACUCUCCUACUCUACUUCUCCAUGUCACUCAUAGAUGCAUAAUUAGCAGUCUCAAAUCUUCCUCUAUUGAUCGAACUCAUAUGUGACGGAAAAUCCAUCUGACUCUGAAUGGCACUAGUCACGUUGCUGGACUUCAUGUGUUUAGAUGUGUUGGGUUUCUCUUAAUGAAUGAUACAAUGGAGACACUGGCAGUGAGAAAAAAGGGGAGAAACUUUGGGGAGAAAUAUGCCUUCCUGGCAUCCGGUCAGAUAAUUAUUUCGUGUAAUAUUCCUAACGAUGGCAAAAAUGUGAAAACUGA
Molecule: long non-coding RNA, 587 nt
Filed under: Olea europaea subsp. europaea
Lineage: Eukaryota; Viridiplantae; Streptophyta; Magnoliopsida; Lamiales; Oleaceae
Source: RNAcentral